AGAGGUCCACCCCAAAGGAUGUGUGUGGGCUGCUGCUGCUGGAGGGUCCACAAGCUAGUGUCUGAAUUUGAGUCACAACCCGUUGCAAAUGCUGGCGUUGUUGUCGUGGAAUAAUUAAAGCAAAUUUGCACUUCAGACAGUCGCCCGUGGAAAAACAAGGCAAACAUCUCAGCUCUCAGCACUGGCGACCCACAACAAGAGCGGUGCCGAAUCACCAGACCCAGGUACAAUCGAGGAAACCGCCUCCUUAAGGAGCGACAAAAACCCAAAGGAAUUUCACGGAUAACAAUCCGACUGCAGCAUACCCACUAUAAUUUAAACCAAAAAUAUGACAUUCUUUGCGACGCAAGCUGCAACUUUAAGCUACGUAAUAACAAUUUCUUAUCUUUAAUAUUAAAUUUUUAAUGCUAAUCUAGACAAAGACCUGCCUUCCAUCGUAUACUUGUUACCUACUCGCCAGCUUAUCUGAUAUACCCCUUUGAAAUAGAAAUUCAGUUUUUAACAACAACAACACCCUCAGCUGCCAGUGCCAACAUCAACAAAAAGGGGUGCUCCAAAGUGUUUCGAGGACUCGUACCUCCUACGACGACAAUUGCAACAACAGCAAUGCAGAACAAAACGCCAGUCAGCCGGGAAAGUACGCAAAAAAAUGUCUUUAUGUACGAAAGGCAAGGUACGAGCACGGGUAUAUGUAUGUAUGUUUAUGCUACCAUAAUAUGGAACAGAGCCAACAACACAAAAAACAAUGCCAGUGAGUGGCACAGAGAGCUGGAACAGGAGCGGUUCAUCUGGAGGAGAAGCUAUGGUAAUGCCAAAUUACUUAACUUCGGGAGAACGAAGCGGAAAGGAGGAAACCGAACGGCGACCGCGAUGACGGACUCGUGCGGAUGCUGCUGAUGCCGAUGCUGAUGCCGACGUGGAUGUGGAUGCCGACGAGGAUGAGGAUGACGAUGCUUUUCUCACUUGCUGAGCGCAACAAGGACCAAAAAAUGCCAGCACGGCAACAACAAUGGCCAACAACAAUAAUAAUAGCGAAUGGCAACAAUAAACUGGGCUUGCGCCAAAAACGAAAUACGAAAUUUUUAUGGGAAGAGCGAGCGAGAGUCGUCUUCUCACGACGACAGGACGGGAACAACAACAGAAACAACAAAGGAGUAACGAGAUGGGAAAACAAAAUCACACAUACACACACGAAGAGCGACUCUCACAAAAAGCUGCUCAAAGUCAGUGUUUCGGGUGUGUGCGUGCGUGUUAGUGGGAGAGAUUCACCCG
Drosophila melanogaster (fruit fly) is the source of this 1272-nucleotide non-coding RNA. The record is from Ensembl. Lineage: Eukaryota; Metazoa; Arthropoda; Insecta; Diptera; Drosophilidae.